UCCAUUUAUAUGUCGCAGUUUAGGAAGAAAUAAUAAAAAAAAGUCACUGUAUACAAAAAAAAUAAUGCUAUUUUUUUCAAGAAGAGGCAAGAAAGCGUUGGCGAUGUAGUAGACCAAACUUGACACACGCAGAAGGGAUACAUGUUAUUAUGUCGGUAUAGUGACAAAAAGUUCACAUUCGAUCUGCAACGAAGAGGCAAGAAAGCGUUGGCGAUGUAGUAGACCAAACUUGACAUGCAAGUUAAGUUUCCCUUUUUCCAAGUAAAGCCUAGCUCCAGUGACUAACCAAUGACCAGGACUAUGUUGAGGUCCUCUACAUAACUGCGAAAGAUCCACGAACUUCACAAUCUUGUUAUUCGCCGGCACAGGAGGUCCUCUUGGGAAAACACCGGAGUCCAAAACGACUUCGUUUUUGUCUUUGUUAUCAACCAUAUUAUGAUGAACACUCCCACUAGUCAACGGUAAGCUCAUUGUUGAGAAGAUACCAGAUUUUUUUGAAGUUCCUGGUCCAUGGACCCAUUCCUUCUGAACAACGUUAUGAUCAGAGACUCCGGUGAAACGGAGACGGAGAUGGAGAACGGAUUUUGAGCCGUGUUUCUUCACUUCUAGUUGAGCUCCGGUGACUAUGUAAGCGAUGUUGUUUGAGUUUUUGCUGGUUGUUGUUGUUGUUGUGAUCCAGUUUGGGUCGUACUUCACUGGAGCUGUACACACGUGUGAGAACUUUUUACCGUUUAAAGGUUCGAAGUAGCGGUUGCUGUCGGAGAUUUCGUCGGAGCCUCUCCAUAUGUGAUCGUCGGUGAUCUUUUCAUUGACCGUUGUCCUCGUAUUCUCUAGGUGUUGUAAGUGUAUAGCCAACCUGAUGUACAGAAAUUCAUUAUUAUUUCGUUACAUUUAUAGCUAUGUAUAUGGUUAAACUUUAUUGAAAACCGCAUUUGUACACAAAUUAUGAAAGAGAAAUAUCAUAAGACAACACUAAAACAUUGUUUAUUCUAAAAUAUCACACAAUUGAGAAAUUCUUUAAAUAAUAAUAAUUAAAAAAAUAAAAGUUAUAUUAUUUAACGGUGAGGUUAAAAUAAAGGUUUAAAGUUUGGAGUAAUUUAAGGUUUAAUAUCCUUUAAUUGAUAUUAUUUCGAAGUUUUUUUGUAUAUGGUAUUUUUGUUAUAAUUUUUUUAGCUGGCAAAGUGUUAUGUUAGUCCCUUCUAGGCCAAGAAAGCGUUGGCGAUGUAGUAGACCAAACUUGACAUGCAAGUUAAGUUUCCCUUUUUCCAAGUAAAGCCUAGCUCCAGUGACUAACCAAUGACCAGGACUAUGUUGAGGUCCUCUACAUAACUGCGAAAGAUCCACGAACUUCACAAUCUUGUUAUUCGCCGGCACAGGAGGUCCUCUUGGGAAAACACCGGAGUCCAAAACGACUUCGUUUUUGUCUUUGUUAUCAACCAUAUUAUGAUGAACACUCCCACUAGUCAACGGUAAGCUCAUUGUUGAGAAGAUACCAGAUUUUUUUGAAGUUCCUGGUCCAUGGACCCAUUCCUUCUGAACAACGUUAUGAUCAGAGACUCCGGUGAAACGGAGACGGAGAUGGAGAACGGAUUUUGAGCCGUGUUUCUUCACUUCUAGUUGAGCUCCGGUGACUAUGUAAGCGAUGUUGUUUGAGUUUUUGCUGGUUGUUGUUGUUGUUGUGAUCCAGUUUGGGUCGUACUUCACUGGAGCUGUACACACGUGUGAGAACUUUUUACCGUUUAAAGGUUCGAAGUAGCGGUUGCUGUCGGAGAUUUCGUCGGAGCCUCUCCAUAUGUGAUCGUCGGUGAUCUUUUCAUUGACCGUUGUCCUCGUAUUCUCUAGGUGUUGUAAGUGUAUAGCCAACCUGAUGUACAGAAAUUCAUUAUUAUUUCG
RNAcentral lists this long non-coding RNA (1893 nucleotides) under Brassica napus (rape). Its description in RNAcentral is "long non-coding RNA (BNAP_LNC008441)". Lineage: Eukaryota; Viridiplantae; Streptophyta; Magnoliopsida; Brassicales; Brassicaceae. The record is from RNAcentral.